RNAcentral lists this ribosomal RNA (523 nucleotides) under Salmonella enterica subsp. enterica serovar Derby. RNAcentral's name for it is "partial 23S ribosomal RNA". It matches the Rfam family "Bacterial large subunit ribosomal RNA", at positions 1 to 563 of the family's 2925-position model. Lineage: Bacteria; Pseudomonadati; Pseudomonadota; Gammaproteobacteria; Enterobacterales; Enterobacteriaceae. RNAcentral also lists the same sequence under 4 other names. The record is from RNAcentral.
GGUUAAGCGACUAAGCGUACACGGUGGAUGCCCUGGCAGUCAGAGGCGAUGAAGGGCGUGCUAAUCUGCGAUAAGCGCCGGUAAGGUGAUAUGAACCGUUAUAACCGGCGAUACCCGAAUGGGGAAACCCAGUGUGAUUCGUCACACUAUCAUUAACUGAAUCCAUAGGUUAAUGAGGCGAACCGGGGGAACUGAAACAUCUAAGUACCCCGAGGAAAAGAAAUCAACCGAGAUUCCCCCAGUAGCGGCGAGCGAACGGGGAGGAGCCCAGAGCCUGAAUCAGCAUGUGUGUUAGUGGAAGCGUCUGGAAAGGCGCGCGAUACAGGGUGACAGCCCCGUACACAAAAGCGCAUGUGCUGUGAGCUCGAUGAGUAGGGCGGGACACGUGGUAUCCUGUCUGAAUAUGGGGGGACCAUCCUCCAAGGCUAAAUACUCCUGACUGACCGAUAGUGAACCAGUACCGUGAGGGAAAGGCGAAAAGAACCCCGGCGAGGGGAGUGAAAAAGAACCUGAAACCGUGUAC